AACAAGGUCUCCGUUGGUGAACCAGCGGAGGGAUCAUUAUCGAGUUAUUCAACUCCCAAACCCUAUGUGAACUUACCACUUGUUGCUUCGGCGCGCGCUUCGGCGCCGCCGAGGACACUUAAACUCUUUGUUUUUAUAAGCAUUUCUGAGUGGCCGAAAGGCAAAAAUACAAAUGAAUCAAAACUUUCAACAACGGAUCUCUUGGUUCUGGCAUCGAUGAAGAACGCAGCGAAAUGCGAUAAGUAAUGUGAAUUGCAGAAUUCAGUGAAUCAUCGAAUCUUUGAACGCACAUUGCGCCCGCCAGCAUUCUGGCGGGCAUGCCUGUUCGAGCGUCAUUUCAACCCUCGAGCCCGACUCUUUUGAGGACGGCUCGGCGUUGGGGGACGGCAGACUCCCCCCGGCAUCUCGCCGGGGACGCCGCCCCCGAAAUCUAGUGGCGGCCCUCCGAGGCGACCUCUGCGUAGUAACUUGUUCUCGCACCGGAAAGCUCAGAGCGGCCACGCCGUAAAACCCCAACUUUUUUCAGGUUGACCUCGAAUCAGGUAGGACUACCCGCUGAACUUAAGCAUAUCAAAACAAGGUCUCCGUUGGUG
This 593-nucleotide ribosomal RNA is filed under the name uncultured fungus. RNAcentral describes it as "eukaryotic LSU rRNA". The stretch from base 182 to 335 matches the Rfam family "5.8S ribosomal RNA". The record is from RNAcentral. Lineage: Eukaryota; Fungi.